This 1415-nucleotide ribosomal RNA is filed under the name Alcaligenes sp. HT18-MRL. Its description in RNAcentral is "bacterial SSU rRNA". It matches the Rfam family "Bacterial small subunit ribosomal RNA". The record is from RNAcentral. Lineage: Bacteria; Pseudomonadati; Pseudomonadota; Betaproteobacteria; Burkholderiales; Alcaligenaceae.
GCAAGUCGAACGGCAGCACGAGAGAGCUUGCUCUCUUGGUGGCGAGUGGCGGACGGGUGAGUAAUAUAUCGGAACGUGCCUAGUAGCGGGGGAUAACUACUCGAAAGAGUGGCUAAUACCGCAUACGCCCUACGGGGGAAAGGGGGGGAUCGCAAGACCUCUCACUAUUAGAGCGGCCGAUAUCGGAUUAGCUAGUUGGUGGGGUAAAGGCUCACCAAGGCAACGAUCCGUAGCUGGUUUGAGAGGACGACCAGCCACACUGGGACUGAGACACGGCCCAGACUCCUACGGGAGGCAGCAGUGGGGAAUUUUGGACAAUGGGGGAAACCCUGAUCCAGCCAUCCCGCGUGUAUGAUGAAGGCCUUCGGGUUGUAAAGUACUUUUGGCAGAGAAGAAAAGGUACCUCCUAAUACGAGGUACUGCUGACGGUAUCUGCAGAAUAAGCACCGGCUAACUACGUGCCAGCAGCCGCGGUAAUACGUAGGGUGCAAGCGUUAAUCGGAAUUACUGGGCGUAAAGCGUGUGUAGGCGGUUCGGAAAGAAAGAUGUGAAAUCCCAGGGCUUAACCUUGGAACUGCAUUUUUAACUGCCGAGCUAGAGUAUGUCAGAGGGGGGUAGAAUUCCACGUGUAGCAGUGAAAUGCGUAGAUAUGUGGAGGAAUACCGAUGGCGAAGGCAGCCCCCUGGGAUAAUACUGACGCUCAGACACGAAAGCGUGGGGAGCAAAACAGGAUUAGAUACCCUGGUAGUCCACGCCCUAAACGAUGUCAACUAGCUGUUGGGGCCGUUAGGCCUUAGUAGCGCAGCUAACGCGUGAAGUUGACCGCCUGGGGAGUACGGUCGCAAGAUUAAAACUCAAAGGAAUUGACGGGGACCCGCACAAGCGGUGGAUGAUGUGGAUUAAUUCGAUGCAACGCGAAAAACCUUACCUACCCUUGACAUGUCUGGAAUCCCGAAGAGAUUUGGGAGUGCUCGCAAGAGAACCGGAACACAGGUGCUGCAUGGCUGUCGUCAGCUCGUGUCGUGAGAUGUUGGGUUAAGUCCCGCAACGAGCGCAACCCUUGUCAUUAGUUGCUACGCAAGAGCACUCUAAUGAGACUGCCGGUGACAAACCGGAGGAAGGUGGGGAUGACGUCAAGUCCUCAUGGCCCUUAUGGGUAGGGCUUCACACGUCAUACAAUGGUCGGGACAGAGGGUCGCCAACCCGCGAGGGGGAGCCAAUCUCAGAAACCCGAUCGUAGUCCGGAUCGCAGUCUGCAACUCGACUGCGUGAAGUCGGAAUCGCUAGUAAUCGCGGAUCAGAAUGUCGCGGUGAAUACGUUCCCGGGUCUUGUACACACCGCCCGUCACACCAUGGGAGUUUGUUUCUUCCAGAAGUAGGUAGCCUAACCGUAAGGAGGGCGCUAACCUGUGGAG